Molecule: ribosomal RNA, 463 nt
Filed under: uncultured bacterium
Lineage: Bacteria
Description: bacterial SSU rRNA
Rfam family: Bacterial small subunit ribosomal RNA
Source: RNAcentral
GAUGAACGCUGGCGGCGUGCUUAACACAUGCAAGUCGAACGAAGCACUUUAUUUGAUUUCCUUCGGGACUGAUUAUUUUGUGACUGAGUGGCGGACGGGUGAGUAACGCGUGGGUAACCUGCCUUGUACAGGGGGAUAACAGUUGGAAACGGCUGCUAAUACCGCAUAAGCGCACGGCAUCGCAUGAUGCAGUGUGAAAAACUCCGGUGGUAUAAGAUGGACCCGCGUUGGAUUAGCUAGUUGGUGAGGUAACGGCCCACCAAGGCGACGAUCCAUAGCCGACCUGAGAGGGUGACCGGCCACAUUGGGACUGAGACACGGCCCAAACUCCUACGGGAGGCAGCAGUGGGGAAUAUUGCACAAUGGGCGAAAGCCUGAUGCAGCGACGCCGCGUGAGCGAAGAAGUAUUUCGGUAUGUAAAGCUCUAUCAGCAGGGAAGAUAAUGACGGUACCUGACUAAGAA